RNAcentral lists this unclassified non-coding RNA (197 nucleotides) under plant metagenome. Its description in RNAcentral is "partial contains small subunit ribosomal RNA and internal transcribed spacer 1". The stretch from base 1 to 46 matches the Rfam family "Eukaryotic small subunit ribosomal RNA", at positions 1786 to 1831 of the family's 1831-position model. The record is from RNAcentral.
AAGUCGUAACAAGGUUUCCGUAGGUGAACCUGCGGAAGGAUCAUUAACGAAUCAAACAAGUUCAUCUUGUUCUGAUCCUGUGCACCUUAUGUAGUCCCAAAGUCUUCACGGGCGGCGGUUGACUACGUCUACCUCGCACCUUAAAGUAUGUUAACGAAUGUAAUCAUGGUCUUGACAGACCCUAAAAGUUAAUACAA